RNAcentral lists this non-coding RNA (64 nucleotides) under Emergencia sp. The record is from RNAcentral. Lineage: Bacteria; Bacillati; Bacillota; Clostridia; Peptostreptococcales; Anaerovoracaceae.
AGCCGAAACGCCCUCAGGGCGUCAGCCGGGGACGGUCUCCCGGCUCUGAUGAUGGUAGACCAGA